Non-coding RNA from Callorhinus ursinus (northern fur seal), 507 nucleotides. NCBI's taxonomy places the organism in Eukaryota, Metazoa, Chordata, Mammalia, Carnivora, Otariidae. The record is from RefSeq and is a predicted model, not a curated record.
GCUGUGUGCUGAGACGGCGGGGGUUGGCGCCCUUGUAGGCUCUGAGGCAGGUGGCAGGGGCAGCUGGGCAAGUUCUGCCCAGGUCUUCAGACCCUGCUUGAAGCCCCUUGGUGAGGAGAGAAGGAAAGACUGGUUCUGAGAUUGCUCCAGAAAUCAGAAACUCUCAGACGGCCUCCUGGAAUGAGACACAGCUGUUUACCUGAACUGACCUGUUCCCAGGACUGAGUGGCUGGUUCAGUGAGAUAGGAAGUAAUCUAUCAACUCAGCUUCUGGACUGUGAAAAUUCUUCAAAGUUUCAAAGAGUCUCUUCCAUACCAGACUUUAAAUCAAAGCAACAUGUUGUUCAAGUUUUCUGGAAGAUACUGCUCUACAAAUAUUAUCUGGGCUCUCUCUCUGCCCCAAGUUGAUGGAUUAUCAUUCAGCAACAAUUCCCCUCUCACUGUGGACACAAUGUACCCAUUGAUGUCGGGUGCAACCAGAUUUUAUUUAUUCAUUCGAGACACAGAG